UACAGCUGCGCCCCCACCCUUCCUCCUCGUCUUCCCUCCCCUGUAAUCCAAUCUUUUCACAUUCCCCGCUCCUCUCUCUCCCCCCCUCCCAGAAAUCAAAGCCCGCCGCGGGGAGAGACUAGCGGCGCAAUGGACGCCUACGAGGCCACCAAGGUGGUGUUCGCACGGGUCCAGGGGCUCGUCGACGCGGACCUCGCCUCCAAGAUCAUGGGCAUGCUGCUCACCCAGGACAAGAGCGAGGAGGAUAUGAUCCGCCUCGCCUUCGGCCCCGAGCACCUCCUCCAGUCCGUCGUCGCCGACCUCGCGGCCUACAGCAAGCCCCCCUCCCCGCCCGCGCCGGCAUGGAGGAUGGCGCCGGGUGCGGCUGGAGGAGAUGGCGAAGGCGGCCUCCCGUUCGCCGCCGCAUCCGAAGCGUUCUACCCCGAGGAGGAGUACGGGUGCUGGUCUCCGGCGAGCGGCGCUCAUCACCGCCGGAGCUUCUCGCUGAGCGACGCCGAGGGCGGGUGGAAGCUGUGCCAGUACUUCGCCCGGGGCUUCUGCAAGAACGGCUCCGACUGCCGCUUCCUGCACGGGCUGCCCGAGGACGUCGCCGAGCAGGAGAUGUCGGUGAUACGCGCCAAGGCCGUCGCCGCCGCUAGGUCGCAGAUGAUGGCGCCCGCCUUCGCCUUCUCGCCAUCGCCUCCCAAAGGCCUCGGCUUCCUCCUACAACAACAGCAGCAGCAGCAGCAGCAGAGCGAGUCCCAAAGGGCGUCGGACAUGCUGCUCGCCGGAGGCGACGACAUGCACAGGUUCUCUCUUCGGUCGCCCCGCAUGGACCGCGGCGAGCUCGCCAUCAACCACGGCCCGCGCCAGAUCUACCUCACUUUCCCCGCCGACUCCACCUUCACCGAAGAGGACGUGUCCAGCUACUUCAGCAUGUACGGGCCGGUACAGGACGUGCGCAUCCCGCACCAGCCGAAGCGCAUGUUCGGCUUCGUCUCCUUCGUCUACCCGGAGACGGUGCGGCUCGUCCUCGCCAAGGGCAACCCACACUUCGUCUGCGACGCGCGCGUCCUUGUCAAGCCAUACAAGGAGAAGGGCAAGGUCCCCGACAGGUUCAGGCAUGGCGGCGGCGGCGGCGGCCACUGUCUCUCUACUCACCACCGCGAGUUUGCCGCCGUCGGCAGCGGGAUGCCGUCCGCCGGGCUGCUCGACUCCAGGGACCCCUUCGACCUCCAGCAGCCGCAAAUCGGGCAGAGAAUGCUGUACGGGAGCAUGGCCGGCCACGAGGCGGCGUUUCUGAGGAGGAACCUGGAGGAGCAGCAGCAGCAGCAGGAGGCGGCGGAGCUGCAGCAUGCCAUCGAGCUGCAGGGCCGCCGGCUCAUGGGGCUGCAGUUUCUUGACCUCAAGGGCAGGGGGCACGGCCUCCUGGGCUCCCCCGUGGGCUCACCGUCCGACGGCAAUGGCGUCUGCUUUAGUGGGAACGGCAGUGGCGUCCAUCUUGAAGACGCCAUUAGCACCAUCCAAGAUAACAACAGGCUGAGCAGUGGUCUUUUCAUGGGCACAUAUGCUGCUGCUUGUGUGAUUGCUAAAGAAGGGAAGCAGGUGUAUCGGGAGGAGGGUGGUGAUGGCAAUGGCAGUGGCAAUGGCAAUGGCAAUGGCAGUCCCAAGCAGCCAGUCAACUCUGGGGAAGAGGGGAGGAGGGAAUCUGGUCCUGGGGCAGCAGCUGCAUCCAAUGUUUGUGAAUACCAAGAAAGUGGCAUGGAGCCCAAGCACAACCUGCCUGGUAGCCCCUUCGCUUUCCCCACCAAGGAGGCCUCCAUUGCUGCUGCUGCUGCUGAGCAGCAGACAGCUCACACUGGCGGCAUGAGCAACAGUAGCAGCCCCCACCUGGUGGCCUCUUCCCUUUUCCCGCCUGCUAAACCUCUCUACAGCUCCUGCUUCUCUCAAGUGCCUAGAUUGUCGUCUGGGCAGGGAGCAAUUGGGCUGUGAAUAGAGCAAAGAUAGGGGUGUCAUCUCCUCUCCGCUGUGCUGGGAGUAAGUGUCAACAGCAACAGUCACUUGCUCAAUCAUGGGAGGGAGUGGUGUGAUGAGAUGACUGACCCCAUCGAGUGGUGGUAGGAAAAAGAAAAGGAAAGGAAAGCGUUUAACAGAUUGUAGGAGGUGUAUCUUGAGUUGAGAGAGGGACAGCGCAGCAACUCAACAGCAACAACAGCAACAGAUUAAGAAAGGAAACAGUCCUAGGUUGUCUUUAGCAUUAGGCAUUAAUAGUAUAUGGAGUAGCAUAAAAUAGUACUAGCACCAGUCGUCGUUUUAAUUAUUACUAGUUCCUGCAUUGCAAGAGUCGAGUGGAGUCGAGCAUAUAUAGCAAGGGGAAAGUGAGAAGUGGAAACCAACCGUCAUGCAUGGCUUGUGGCUGCGUUGCUUCGUGAAGGUCCGGUCAAUCCUCUGUUUGUGUGGAUCUCAUCUCAUCCCAGUCUCUGAUGACAGACAGAAGUACUAUACCGUCACUGCUUGGCUAGUCUUUGACUCCUGGCAGCAGUGGCCUCUUUGUGACUAAUGCUAUGAUGGAUGCGUCGUGGACAUCAAAAUGAGUCUUUUGAAAUUAA
This is an RNA transcript of Hordeum vulgare subsp. vulgare (domesticated barley), 2588 nucleotides long. It is a transcript of the gene named zinc finger CCCH domain-containing protein 23-like, with no coding region annotated. NCBI's taxonomy places the organism in Eukaryota, Viridiplantae, Streptophyta, Magnoliopsida, Poales, Poaceae. The record is from RefSeq and is a predicted model, not a curated record. The transcript is spliced from 8 exons.